UGGGAGACAUUGAGCAGUGGAAGAUGAGUCCGAAGCCGAGAGACUCGGGAUCCCCGGCCAAGACCAAGGAGACCCAAAAGAGGAAGUCCUCUCCUCAGCAGGGCUCCAGCAGCCCGAAGAAGAAGGCUACCAGGGCGGCCAAGAAGGGAAAAGCAGCUCGUGGACCGAGAGGCGGGAAGAAACGGACCGCGAGCAAGAUGGCGGCGGCGGCCCCUGAGGCGGGGAGCGGGCCAGCGGCCCCCGGCCCCAAUGACCAGCCUAGCCAGGAGCUCCCUCAGCACCAGCUGCCGGUGGAGGAGCCCGUGAGCGAGGGGAGCCAGCACGACACCCUGAGCCAGGAGACCCAGCUGGAGGAGCCACUGAGCGAGGGGGCGGCCACCAACUCCACCAGCUCCCUGAGCAGCGACUAAGUUCAGGCCCAGUCGCCAGACCGCAGAGAUCUCACCAGCAGGGUGGCCCCUGGUGAAGAUAAUAAAAUGAAUGUGUUGCAAA
Molecule: RNA transcript, 492 nt
Organism: Rhinopithecus roxellana (golden snub-nosed monkey)
Lineage: Eukaryota; Metazoa; Chordata; Mammalia; Primates; Cercopithecidae
Gene name: testis-specific basic protein Y 1 pseudogene
Exons: 1
Source: RefSeq, a predicted model, not a curated record